RNAcentral lists this ribosomal RNA (548 nucleotides) under Triticum aestivum (bread wheat). RNAcentral describes it as "partial small subunit ribosomal RNA". The record is from RNAcentral. Lineage: Eukaryota; Viridiplantae; Streptophyta; Magnoliopsida; Poales; Poaceae.
AUGUCUUCCUCAAGCUCCCACGCCACCUCGUGGAUGCAGAGCCGGGCGCGAGUGGACAUGCCUGUCUUCGUCUAUCCGCGAUGCCGGGCGGGCGUUGUUCGGAGGGUUUCUCACACACCGGGGAACAAGAAUCGUCCGUUCUAUGUGUGCAACGACAAUGGGUAAGAAUUGGGGCAAUUGCACCAUUUUCGUGGUCGGGAUGUUUGAGCAAUGGGUUGAUCUGUUUGGUCUUCAUGCAGGUGACAUGCUUCUUUCUUUGGGUCGAUGCUCUGGGCAAGACUCUGAUGAAUGAACUUCAAGAAGAGCAUGAAGAAUGGUUGUGCAUGCUGCCACGAACGGCAGUGGCCGCAACACGAGCUCUGGAAGAAGAGAUGGAGGGCGAAGCACGCACUGACAGAGAGCUAGCUAUUGAGCUUAGGAUGUUGAAGAAGCAAGUUAGGAAGCUUGAAGAUCAAGCACUACCAAUACCCAUUUGCAAAUACUUUUGGGCAUUUGUAGGUAUGGUAAUCGCACUAGUUGUAAUGUUGAAAAUGUAUGGAAAGGCAUGA